AACGACUCUCGGCAACGGAUAUCUCGGCUCUCGCAUCGAUGAAGAACGUAGCGAAAUGCGAUACUUGGUGUGAAUUGCAGAAUCCCGUGAACCAUCGAGUCUUUGAACGCAAGUUGCGCCCGAAGCCAUCCGGCCGAGGGCACGUCUGGCUGGGUGUCACACAAC
This 165-nucleotide ribosomal RNA is filed under the name Eurypetalum unijugum. RNAcentral's name for it is "5.8S ribosomal RNA". It matches the Rfam family "5.8S ribosomal RNA". Rfam says of the family: 5.8S ribosomal RNA (5.8S rRNA) is a component of the large subunit of the eukaryotic ribosome. It is transcribed by RNA polymerase I as part of the 45S precursor that also contains 18S and 28S rRNA. Functionally, it is thought that 5.8S rRNA may be involved in ribosome translocation. Lineage: Eukaryota; Viridiplantae; Streptophyta; Magnoliopsida; Fabales; Fabaceae. The record is from RNAcentral.